GAACGGGAUCCUUCGGGAUUUAGUGGCGGACGGGUGAGUAACGCGUGAGAGUCUGCCCUUAGGUUGGGGACAACAGUUGGAAACGACCGCUAAUACCCAAUGUGCCGAGAGGUGAAAGGUUAACUGCCUGGGGAUGAGCUCGCGUCUGAUUAGCUAGUUGGAGUGGUAACGGCACACCAAGGCGACGAUCAGUAGCUGGUCUGAGAGGAUGAUCAGCCACACUGGGACUGAGACACGGCCCAAACUCCUACGGGAGGCAGCAGUGGGGAAUUUUCCGCAAUGGGCGAAAGCCUGACGGAGCAAGACCGCGUGAGGGAGGAAGGCCUAUUGGUUGUAAACCUCUUUUGAUAGGGAAGAACACAAUGACGGUACCUAUCGAAUCAGCAUCGGCUAACUCCGUGCCAGCAGCCGCGGUAAUACGGAGGAGGCAAGCGUUAUCCGGAAUUAUUGGGCGUAAAGAGUCCGUAGGUGGGUGACCAAGUCAGUUGUUAAAUAGUGAAGCUUAACUUCAUAGAGGCGACUGAAACUGGUCAUCUAGAGUGUGGUAGGGGUAGAGGGAAUUUCCAGUGUAGCGGUGAAAUGCGUAGAUAUUGGAAAGAACACCGGUGGCGAAAGCGCUCUACUGGGCCUGCACUGACACUGAGGGACGAAAGCUAGGGGAGCGAAAGGGAUUAGAUACCCCUGUAGUCCUAGCCGUAAACGAUGAUAACUAGGUGUUGCCCGUAUCGACCCGAGCCGUGCCGA
RNAcentral lists this ribosomal RNA (744 nucleotides) under cyanobacterium enrichment culture clone 5_10_5.2.4_D04-T7. Its description in RNAcentral is "bacterial SSU rRNA". It matches the Rfam family "Bacterial small subunit ribosomal RNA", at positions 64 to 849 of the family's 1533-position model. The record is from RNAcentral. Lineage: Bacteria; Bacillati; Cyanobacteriota.